CGGACAUCAGGAGGUUAGUGCAAUGGCAUAAGCUAGCUUGACUGCGAGCGUGACGGCGCGAGCAGGUGCGAAAGCAGGUCAUAGUGAUCCGGUGGUUCUGAAUGGAAGGGCCAUCGCUCAACGGAUAAAAGGUACUCCGGGGAUAACAGGCUGAUACCGCCCAAGAGUUCAUAUCGACGGCGGUGUUUGGCACCUCGAUGUCGGCUCAUCACAUCCUGGGGCUGAAGUAGGUCCCAAGGGUAUGGCUGUUCGCCAUUUAAAGUGGUACGCGAGCUGGGUUUAGAACGUCGUGAGACAGUUCGGUCCCUAUCUGCCGUGGGCGCUGGAGAAUUGGGGGGCUGCUCCUAGUACGAGAGGACCGGAGUGGACGCAUCACUGGUGUUCGGGUUGUCAUGCCAAUGGCACUGCCCGGUAGCUAAAUGCGGAAGAGAUAAGUGCUGAAAGC
Molecule: ribosomal RNA, 445 nt
Filed under: Klebsiella pneumoniae
Lineage: Bacteria; Pseudomonadati; Pseudomonadota; Gammaproteobacteria; Enterobacterales; Enterobacteriaceae
Description: partial 23S ribosomal RNA
Rfam family: Bacterial large subunit ribosomal RNA
Source: RNAcentral